CCUACGGGUGGCAGCAGUGAGGAAUAUUGGUCAAUGGGCGGAAGCCUGAACCAGCCAAGUAGCGUGCAGGCUGACGGCCCUACGGGUUGUCAACUGCUUUUAUACGGGAAUAACGCGCCUUACGUGUAGGGCUUUGCAUGUACCGUAUGAAUAAGGACCGGCUAAUUCCGUGCCAGCAGCCGCGGUAAUACGGAAGGUACGGGCGUUAUCCGGAUUUAUGGGGUUUAAAGGGAGCGUAGGCCGUCUGUCAAGCGUGCUGUGAAAUGUCCGGGCUCAACCCGGGCCUUGCAGCGCGAACUGGCGUGCUUGAGUCCGCGGAAAGCAGGCGGAAUUCGUCGUGUAGCGGUGAAAUGCUUAGAUAUGACGAAGAACCCCGAUUGCGAAGGCAGCUUGCUGCAGCGGAACUGACGCUGAUGCUCGAAAGCGCGGGUAUCGAACAGGAUUAGAUACCCCUGUAGUC
RNAcentral lists this ribosomal RNA (460 nucleotides) under uncultured bacterium. Its description in RNAcentral is "partial 16S ribosomal RNA". It matches the Rfam family "Bacterial small subunit ribosomal RNA", at positions 338 to 795 of the family's 1533-position model. The record is from RNAcentral.